AACCUGAAUGUAAAACCUGAUGAGUUGGUUAAAGUCAAACAGUUUAAGUUUAUUCAAACAGUUAAUGACAGACAGUCAGUGAGUGUGUGUGUGUCCAACUCUUCCUCACAGGUUAGUUAAUGACAGACAGUCAGUGAGUGUGUCUGUGUCCAACUCUUCCUCACAGGUUAGUUAAUGACAGACAGUCAGUGAGUGUGUCUGUGUCCAACUCUUCCUCACAGGUUAGUUAAUGACAGACAGUCAGUGAGUGUGUGUGUGUCCAACUCUUCCUCACAGGUUAGUUAAUGACAGACAGUCAGUGAGUGUGUCUGUGUCCAACUCUUCCUCACAGGUUAGUUAAUGACAGACAGUCAGUGA
Molecule: long non-coding RNA, 357 nt
Organism: Dicentrarchus labrax (European seabass)
Lineage: Eukaryota; Metazoa; Chordata; Actinopteri; Moronidae
Exons: 3
Source: RefSeq, a predicted model, not a curated record